This 383-nucleotide long non-coding RNA is filed under the name Populus trichocarpa (black cottonwood). RNAcentral's name for it is "long non-coding RNA (PTRI_LNC002307)". The record is from RNAcentral. Lineage: Eukaryota; Viridiplantae; Streptophyta; Magnoliopsida; Malpighiales; Salicaceae.
UUUUUUCUUUCAAUUAGUCUCUCAAUAUUUUAUUUCAUUUGUUUUUUUUAUCUAGUUUUGGUCCUUGUUCUUUUAAUUUGUUUUUUCUUUUAAUUUUUUCUUCAACAUUUUAUUUUAUCUGUUUUUUUAUCCAAUUCCAUUCCACAUUCUUUUAAUUGUUUUUUUCUUAUCUUUUAUUUUAUUUUAUUUUUGGAUUAAGUCCCUCAUUAUUUUCUUUCAUUAGUUUUUAUAUUAUCUUAUUAUUUCGAUUACUAUUUGUUUUCUUUUUAAUUUUUUAAUGGCUAAGAAUUUUAUUUAUGAUUUUUUUAUCUUUUAUAAUUAUCUCGGUCUCAUGACUAGAAUUGCUAGUUUCGAAGAUUAUCUCGAUUUAACUUAAUUUUUUU